GGAUAUUGGUAUGCAAGUGUGAGUGAAAUAGAAUGAGUGAGCAUGUUAUAAAUUUGAAAAAACAGAAAUGGAAUUUUGACUACAAAAAAGUAUAGAUUGCAAAAUACAAAGACCAGAGAAAGUAAAAAAAACGAGCAGAUAUCACAGGAGAGAGCUUAAGAUCAGAGAGGAACCAAAGGAUAUUAAUCAAUCACAGAGGAGGGACCUAGAAAAAUGACUACUGUACCACAACACACCAACAAGGCGGACUAUUGUUUACUGCACAGUUGUUUCUUGUGCUUGUGCUUCUGCUCCUGCCUCCUCGGCCUGUAGCUCCACCUCCUUCACUUCCGGUAGAAACAGAAGUCCAAAGACUGAGGGCAAAAGGGAGAGACAAGGACUAAGGCGAAGCAAAAGAAGAAAGAGCAACGAAAACAGCAGAGAAAUGCUAAGGAAAUCCUUGGCCGAAGUGCAUCGUAAGCUUUUUGGGGCUUGGGCAUGUUAAUGGGGUCACCACCACCACCACCACCACGCCCCCUUGCCUGGCUGCGAUUGUUGUGCUAGAAUGCAAAAUUGAUCAAUUUGGACGUCAACGUCUGGCAGGACCCUCCUUUGCCCGCUGAUGCUCCACCUUUUUUGAGACCACAUCAGGCGCAAAUAUAUAUAAUUUAUGCCCACAACAAUGGACAUAAAAGGACAUGCUAAAACACAGGCGACCGAGCAGAACCAAGGACCAGGACGAAAACCGGGAUGAGGUUUCGGCCAUCGGUUCUUCUCGAACGCCCUAAUUGUGUUGGCAGUCAUAAUGCAAUUCCAGGAUUGACUGCUGGACAUUGGAGCUACAUUGACAGUGAGUGCUGCAGGUUGUUCUCAAUAUCUAAAGGAUU
This is a non-coding RNA of Drosophila kikkawai, 866 nucleotides long. The record is from RefSeq and is a predicted model, not a curated record. NCBI's taxonomy places the organism in Eukaryota, Metazoa, Arthropoda, Insecta, Diptera, Drosophilidae.